GGGGCGGGCAGCUGGCAGGCCAAGCCCGUCUGGUUGCAAUCAGCAGGGAUGUGUGGCUUGGCCAGAGGCCAGGCCGGUGUGUUAAAAGGGGAAGGAGCCGGGGCCGGAGUCGGAGAAGCUGGGAGCAAGCAGGGCAGUCGCCACAUCCUGGAGCUCCACGCAGCAGGAGGAGCAUGAAGCAGGUUCUUGCCUGCCUGCUCCUGGCAGCCGCGGGCUGCGCCGUCAAGCAGAAGCGGCAGCCAGUAGAGCGGGACUAUUGGCCAGAAGCUGAGAAGACGAGCGCCAAGGGCUGCGCCAACCUCACCGUGGUGCUGGACAACUGGAAGUUCGCCAUCCUGUCCCAGAUGAAGAACAUGCUGCUCUUCGACCACCACACCGUGCUGC
This is a long non-coding RNA of Gavialis gangeticus (Gharial), 384 nucleotides long. RefSeq lists it as uncharacterized. The record is from RefSeq and is a predicted model, not a curated record. The transcript is spliced from 3 exons. Lineage: Eukaryota; Metazoa; Chordata; Crocodylia; Gavialidae.